This 82-nucleotide transfer RNA is filed under the name Penicillium egyptiacum. RNAcentral's name for it is "tRNA-Arg". It matches the Rfam family "tRNA". From Rfam's summary of the family: Transfer RNA (tRNA) molecules are approximately 80 nucleotides in length. Lineage: Eukaryota; Fungi; Ascomycota; Eurotiomycetes; Eurotiales; Aspergillaceae. The record is from RNAcentral.
CAGGGCGGCUGGCCUAAUGGUAAGGCGCUUGAUUUCGGCUUAGUUCUCAAGAGAUUGCAGGUUCGAUCCCUGCGUCGCUCAU